CAAAUUGGUGCCAGCAGUCGCGGUUAUACGAAUAAUGCAAGUAAAUUUUAUCAGUAAAAGUUAAAUUUAUUAGGAUGAAAUAAAAAUAAAUUUAUUAGGUGAAAUUUUAAAUUUAUACAAUUUUUUAUAGAAAUAAUAUUGAAGCUUAAAAAUUUUUUCAAUAAACUAGGAUUAGAUACCCUAUUAUUAAAAAUGUAAUUUAUUAACUUGAGUAGUAUUAGUUAUGAUCUUGAAACUUAAAAAAUUUGGCGGUAUUUUAGUCUAUUCAGAGGAACCUGUUCUGUAAUCGAUAAUCCACGAUGGACCUUUCUUAAAUUUGUAAUCAGUUUAUAUACCGUCGUUAUUAGAAUAUUUUAUAAGAAAAAUAAUUUUCUAUAAUUUUUAUUAAAAUUUAUAUCAGAUCAAGGUGUAGCUUAUAUUUAAGUAGAAAUGGGUUACAAUAAAAGUAUUUAUAUGAAUAUAAAGAUGAAACCUUUAUUGAAAGUGGAUUUGAUAGUAAAAUUAUAAAGAUUAAUAAUUUGACCUUAGCUC
This 531-nucleotide ribosomal RNA is filed under the name Pherbellia annulipes. RNAcentral describes it as "partial 12S ribosomal RNA". The record is from RNAcentral. Lineage: Eukaryota; Metazoa; Arthropoda; Insecta; Diptera; Sciomyzidae.